CCUUCCUCCAACACUAAUAAAAGCCCAGGAUCCCAGGGAUAAGAGCACCUCUGCUAUCACACUCUCAGGCAGUUGGCAGUUGUGUUGCUGGCACCAAGUCCUCCGGACCCAACUCAGACAAGACUCAUGGCAUCAAGAAACUAUAUCACUGCAGCCAUUGUCCCCAUCUUCUUCAUGGUUAUCCUGUCCUGCUCAGGUGCUCCAGUGACCCCCACGGAUUCCCAAGUGAUUGUGUGCCAGCCCUGGCUCCUGUGUGGGAUCGUGGCCUACAACCCCCAGGAGAAUCAAUGCUGUGAGGAUGGCAGUGUUCAGCCCUUGCCCCUGAGCUGUGGUCCUACAUUCAGCUAUGACCCCUGCUUUCAGCAUUGCUGCCCCGACUCUUACCGGCAGAAGUACGUUGUGGUCAAUAAGACCAGGGCAGGGACCGAGAGAGGUGAUUGUGAAAUGGCGCGCUCCCAUUAGGAGCUGACAUCAGGUGAAAGUUGGCCAGAAGACUCCUCCUUUCUCCAAAGGCAGUUUCCAGAUCUCAAAAGAUCAAAGGACUUGAUGUUGACCCAAAGUUUGGGGUUUCUUCAGUGGAUGGGUC
Vombatus ursinus (common wombat) is the source of this 586-nucleotide long non-coding RNA. The record is from Ensembl. Lineage: Eukaryota; Metazoa; Chordata; Mammalia; Diprotodontia; Vombatidae.